Long non-coding RNA from Neofelis nebulosa (Clouded leopard), 678 nucleotides. RefSeq lists it as uncharacterized. The record is from RefSeq and is a predicted model, not a curated record. NCBI's taxonomy places the organism in Eukaryota, Metazoa, Chordata, Mammalia, Carnivora, Felidae. The transcript is spliced from 2 exons.
GUAGCGUCUCAAUAGCCUGGGACUUCCUCCUAAUUGGGAUUAGCUACAGCUUCCUCCUUUUAGGAGAACAUUUAACUCUUCCUUUUCUACUUUCCAGUUUUUUAUGAAGUCAUUAAAUGUGAACCGUUGGGCAUUUCGGGAAAGGGAGCCAAGAUCUGAGUAGACGCGGGGUGGUGAGGGGAAGGGGCGGAGCCUAGGUCACCGAGGGCCCCAGGCCGGGAGAGUCAGUCCUGCCCUCCUCCCUUCCUUCUCCAUCCUCCCUGCCAGCCCCUCCUCCUUCCUCCUCCCCAUGCUCAGCUUCCUCAGCCCCGCCUCUUCCUGUUCACCAACCCUUCCGAUUCUUCGGGAAGGAGUCUGGGAUCUUAGGGUGGAAGUGAGGCCAAAACCAUGCUAUGUGAGGCUCGAUUUAGCCAGCGGCCCCUGGCCUGUGAAGAGGAAACUCCGAUCUAGGUCCUGCCGGGUUCCCGGGAUUCAGAUAAGAAGCUGAGGCUGGAAAAGGUUAAGAUCCUGGCAGAGAGAGGAUUUGUACUCCUGUCUGACUGCAAAGACCACGUGCGCCCAUUACCGUUCUCAGCGGAGCCUCUGAUUGACACGGUUCAUACGUAGCCCAUACCUGGAAAGACUGGAAUCUUCCAUAUGUCUAUCACAUAGCACCAAUUAAAAAUGGUUUCAAAUACA